GGUGGUGGUGGUGGUGAUGAUGCAGGUAGAGCAGGCUGCCGGGGUGGUGGUGGUGGUGGUGAUGAUGGUGGUGGUGGUGGUGGUGAUGAUGCAGGUAGAGCAGGCUGUCGGGGUGGUGGUGGUGAUGAUGGUGGUGGUGGUGGUGGUGAUGAUGAUGCAGGUAGAGCAGGCUGCCGGGGUGGUGGUGGUGGUGGUGAUGAUGGUGGUGGUGGUGGUGGUGGUGAUGAUGCAGGUAGAGCAGGCUGUCGGGGUGGUGGUGGUGGUGAUGAUGCAGGUAGAGCAGGCUGCCAGGGUGGUGGUGGUGGUGAUGAUGGUGGUGGUGGUGGUGAUGAUGCAGGUAGAGCAGGCUGCCGGGGUGGUGGUGGUGGUGAUGAUGGUGGUGGUGGUGGUGAUGAUGCAGGUAGAGCAGGCUGCCGGGGUGGUGGUGGUGAUGAUGCAGGUAGAGCAGGCUGCCGGGGUGGUGGUGGUGGUGAUGAUGCAGGUAGAGCAGGCUGCCGGGGUGGUGGUGGUGGUGAUGAUGCAGGUAGAGCAGGCUGUCGGGGUGGUGGUGGUGGUGAUGAUGCAGGUAGAGCAGGCUGCCAGGGUGGUGGUGGUGGUGAUGAUGGUGGUGGUGGUGGUGAUGAUGCAGGUAGAGCAGGCUGCCGGGGUGGUGGUGGUGGUGAUGAUGCAGGUAGAGCAGGCUGCCGGGGUGGUGGUGGUGGUGAUGAUGCAGGUAGAGCAGGCUGCCAGGGUGGUGGUGGUGGUGGUUGUGAUGAUGGUGGUGGUGGUGGUGAUGAUGCAGGUAGAGCAGGCUGCCGGGGUGGUGGUGGUGGUGAUGAUGCAGGUAGAGCAGGCUGCCGGGGUGUUGGUGGUGGUAGUGGUGGUGGUGGUGGUGGUGAUGAUGCAGGUAGAGCAGGCUGCCGGGGUGGUGGUAAUGGUGAUGAUGGUUAAAUCAAAUCCAACUUUAUUUGUAACAUGCGCCGAAUACAACAGGUGUAGACCUUACAGUGAAAUGCUUACUUACAAGCCCUUUACCAACAGUGCAGUUUAAGAAGAGUUAAGAAAAUAUUUACCAAAUAAACUAAAGUUAAAAAUAAUGAAAAGUAACACAAAAUAACAAUAACGAGGCUAUAUACAGGGCGCACUGGUAUCGAGUCAGUGUGUGGAGGUACAGGUUAGUUGAGGUAAUUUGUACAUGUAGGUAGGGGUGAAGUGACUAUGCAUAGAUAAUACACAGUGAGUAGCAGCAGCUUAAAAACCAAUGGGUCAAUGUAAAUAGUCUGGUGGUCAUCUGAUGAAUUGUUCAGCAGUCUUAUGGCUUGGGGGUAGAAGUUGAUAAGGAGCCUUUUGGUCUUAGACUUUACGCUCCGUUACCGCUUGCCGUGCGGUAGCAGAGAAAACACCGCCUAGCAUAUAGGUCCUGGGUGGCAGGAAGCUUGACCCCAGUUAUGUACUGGGCCGUACGCACUACCUUCUGUAGUGCCUUAUGGUCAGAUGCAGAGCAGUUACCAUACCAGGCAGUGAUGCAACUGGUCAGGAUGCUCUCGAUGGUGCAACUGUAGAACAAUUUGAGGAUCUGGGGACCCAUGCCAAAUCUUUUCAGUCUCCUGAGGGGGAAAAGGUGUUGUCGUGCCCUCUUCACGACUGUCUUGGUGUGUUUGGAACAUGAUAGUUCGUUGGUGAUGUGGACACCAAGGAACUUGAAACUCUCGACCCGCUCCACGACAGCCCUGUCGAUUUUAAUGGGGCCUGUUUGGCCUACCUUUUCCUAUAGUCCACAAUCAGCUCCUUUGUCUUGCUCAUAUUGAGGGAGAGGUUGUUGUCCUGGCAGUCUCUGACCUCCUCCCUAUAGGCUGUCUCAUCAUUGUCGGUGAUCAGGCCUACCAACUAUUGUGUUGUCAGCAAACUUAAUGAUGGUGUUGGAGUUGUGUUUGGCCACGCAGUCGUGGGUGAACAGGAUGUAAAGAGGGGACUAAGCACCCCCCUUGAGGGGCCCCAGUGUUGAGGAUCAGCAUAGCAGAUGGGUUGUUGCCAACACUUACCACCUGGGGAGCAGCCCGUCAGGAAGUCCAGGAUCCAGUUGCAGAGGGAGGUGUUUAGUCCCAGGGUCCUGGGAAGUGAUGAGCUUUGUGGGCACUAUGGUGUUGAAUGCUGAGCUGUAGUCAAUGAACAGCAUUCUCACAUAUGCGGUCCUUUUGUCCAGGUGGGAAAGGGCAGUGUAGAGUGCGGUUGACAUUGCGCCAUCUGUGAAUAUGUUGGGGCGGUAUGCAAAUUGGAGUGGGUCUAGUUUAUCCGGGAGGAUGUUGUUGAUGUGAGCCAUGACGAGCCUUUCAAACUUCAUGGUUACCGACAUGAGUGCUACGGGGCAGUAAUCAUUUAGGCAGGUUACCUUCGCUUCUUUGGGCACAGGGAUUAUGAUGGUCUGCUUGAAACAUGUAGGUAAUACAGACUCAGACAGGGAGAGGUUGAAAAUGUCAGUGAAGACACUUGCCAGUUGGUCUGCGCAUGCUUUGAGUACAUGUUCUUGUAAUCCAUCUGGCCCACCGGCUUUGUGAAUGUUGACCUGUUUAAAGGUCUUGCUCUCAUCGGCCACCGAGAGCGUUAUCACACAGCCGUCCAGAACAGCUGGUGCUCUCAUAUAUGCUUCAGUGUUGCUUACCUCGAAGCGAGCAUAAAAGGUAUUUAGCUCGUCUGGUAGGCUCGUGUCACUGGGACACUCGAUGCUGGUUUUCCCUUUAUAAUCCGUAAUAGUUUUCAAGCCCUGCGUCGGAGCCGGUGUAGUAAGAUUCAAUCUUAAUCCUGUAUUGAUGCUUGCUUGUUGAUGGUUCGUCAGAGGGCAUAGCGGGAUUUCUUAUAAGCGUCCAGAUUAGUGUCCCGCUCCUUGAAAGCAGCAGCUCUAGCCCUUAGCUCGAUGCGGAUGUUGCUUGUAAACAAUGGCUUCUGGUUGGGAUAUGUACAUACGGUCACUGUGGGGACGACGCCGUCGUCGAUGCACUUAUUGAUGAAGCCGAUGACUGAGAUGGUAUAUUCCUCAAUGCCAUUUGAUGAAUCGUGGAGAUUUUCCAGUCUGUGCUAGCAAAACAGUCCUGUCGCAUAGCAUCCGCGUCAUCUGACCAGUUCCGUAUUGAGCGAGUCAUGUGUACCUCCUGCUUAAGUUUUUGCUUGUAAGCAGGAAUCAGGAGAUUAGAAUUAUGUCCAGAUUUACCAAAUGGAAGGCGGGGGAGAGCUUUGUGUGUGUGGAGUAAAGGUGGUCUUGAGGUUUUUUUUCUCUGGUUGCACAUGUGACAUGCUGAUAGAAAUGAGGUAAAACGGAUUUAAGUUUGACUGCAUUAAAGUCCCCGUGCACUAGGAGCGCCGCUUCUGGAUGAGUAUUUUCUUCUUCGCUUAUGGCCUUAUACAGCUGGUUGAGUGAAGUCUUAGUGCCAGCAUCAGUUUGUGGUGGUAAAUAGAAAGCUACAAAUAAUAUAGAUGACAACUCUCUUGGUGGAUAGUGUGGUCUUCAGCUUAUCAUAAGGUACUCUACCUCAGGCAAGCCCUACAUGAAAAUAUUUACCGUGU
This 3537-nucleotide long non-coding RNA is filed under the name Salmo salar (Atlantic salmon). RNAcentral's name for it is "lncRNA (ENSSSAG00000082448.1)". Lineage: Eukaryota; Metazoa; Chordata; Actinopteri; Salmoniformes; Salmonidae. The record is from RNAcentral.